AAUAUUGGACAAUGGGCGCAAGCCUGAUCCAGCCAUGCCGCGUGAGUGAUGAAGGCCUUAGGGUUGUAAAGCUCUUUCACCGAUGAAGAUAAUGACGGUAGUCGGAGAAGAAGCCCCGGCUAACUUCGUGCCAGCAGCCGCGGUACUACGAAGGGGGCUAGCGUUGUUCGGAUUUACUGGGCGUAAAGCGCACGUAGGCGGUUUGUUAAGUCAGAGGUGAAAUCCCGGAGCUCAACUCCGGAACUGCCUUUGAUACUGGCAAGCUAGAGUCCGGAAGAGGUAAGUGGAACUCCUAGUGUAGAGGUGGAAUUCGUAGAUAUUAGGAAGAACACCAGUGGCGAAGGCGGCUUACUGGUCCGGAACUGACGCUGAGGUGCGAAAGCGUGGGGAGCAAACAGG
RNAcentral lists this ribosomal RNA (399 nucleotides) under uncultured bacterium. RNAcentral describes it as "bacterial SSU rRNA". It matches the Rfam family "Bacterial small subunit ribosomal RNA", at positions 360 to 776 of the family's 1533-position model. The record is from RNAcentral.